GCCUCCUCCUUAGCUCAGUGGCAGAGCACUGGCUCUGUAAACCAGGGGUCGUGAGUUCAAACCUCACAGGGGGCA
Molecule: non-coding RNA, 75 nt
Organism: Eriocheir sinensis (Chinese mitten crab)
Lineage: Eukaryota; Metazoa; Arthropoda; Malacostraca; Decapoda; Varunidae
Source: the annotation of a RefSeq genome assembly